GGUUAAGCGACUAAGCGUACACGGUGGAUGCCCUGGCAGUCAGAGGCGAUGAAGGACGUGCUAAUCUGCGAUAAGCGUCGGUAAGGUGAUAUGAACCGUUAUAACCGGCGAUUUCCGAAUGGGGAAACCCAGUGUGAUUCGUCACACUAUCAUUAACUGAAUCCAUAGGUUAAUGAGGCGAACCGGGGGAACUGAAACAUCUAAGUACCCCGAGGAAAAGAAAUCAACCGAGAUUCCCCCAGUAGCGGCGAGCGAACGGGGAGCAGCCCAGAGCCUGAAUCAGUGUGUGUGUUAGUGGAAGCGUCUGGAAAGGCGCGCGAUACAGGGUGACAGCCCCGUACACAAAAAUGCACAUGCUGUGAGCUCGAUGAGUAGGGC
RNAcentral lists this ribosomal RNA (378 nucleotides) under Escherichia coli. Its description in RNAcentral is "partial 23S ribosomal RNA". It matches the Rfam family "Bacterial large subunit ribosomal RNA", at positions 1 to 418 of the family's 2925-position model. The record is from RNAcentral. Lineage: Bacteria; Pseudomonadati; Pseudomonadota; Gammaproteobacteria; Enterobacterales; Enterobacteriaceae.